This 2502-nucleotide ribosomal RNA is filed under the name human gut metagenome. Its description in RNAcentral is "bacterial LSU rRNA". It matches the Rfam family "Bacterial large subunit ribosomal RNA", at positions 14 to 2539 of the family's 2925-position model. The record is from RNAcentral.
AGAGCGUAGGGAGAAUGACUUGGCAUCAGGAGCCGAAGAAGGACGUGACAAGCUGCGAAAAGCUGCGGUUAGGAGCAAAUAUCCAUAGACCCGCAGAUAUCCGAAUGGGGAAACCCGGUACGGCAAUACCGUAUCACUGCAUGGUAAAUACAUAGCCAUGUGGAGGAAACCCUCUGAACUGAAACAUCUAAGUAGGAGGAGGAAGAGAAAGAAACAUCGAUUUCCUAAGUAGCGGCGAGCGAAAGGGAAAGAGGCCAAACCAGAGAUAGCAAUAUCUUUGGGGUUGCGGACUGCAAAAUUGAUUCAAUAUUUUUAGCAGAAGUGUAUGGGAAGACACACCAUAGUAGGUAAUAGUCCUGUAAGCGAAAAGGAUAUUGACAAGGCAGGAUCCAGAGUACCACCGGACACGAGGAACCCGGUGGGAAGCCGGGGGGACCACCCCCCAAGCCUAAAUACUACCUGAUGACCGAUAGUGAAAAGUACAGUGAUGGAAAGUUGAAAAGAACCCCGGAAGGGGAGUGAAAAAGAAUCUGAAACCCUAUGUUUACAAGCUGCUAAAGCACCAUAUGAGUGCGAUAGCGUACUUUUUGUAGAACGGUCCGGCGAGUGUAUGUUGCAAGCGAGGUUAAGGUGUUAAGCACUGAAGCCGAAGGGAGACCGAGUGUGAAUAGCGCGUACAGUUUGCAGUAUACGACCCGAAACCGGGUGACCUAACCAUGGACAGGUUGAAGUGGAAGUAAAAUUCCAUGGAGGACCGAACCCACGUCUGUUGAAAAAGGCGGGGAUGAGCUGUGGUUAGCGGUGAAAUUCCAAUCGAACUCGGAUAUAGCUGGUUCUCAUCGAAAUAGCUUUAGGGCUAGCCUCAGGAUAGUUUAGCGGAGGUAAAGCACUGAAUGGGCUAGGGGGCUUCACGGCUUACCGAACCCUAUCAAACUCUGAAUGCCGCAUAAAUGUUUCCUGGGAGUCAGACUGCGUGAGAUAAGUUUCGUAGUCAAAAGGGAAAGAGCCCAGACCUACAGCUAAGGUCCCUAAAUGAAUUUAAGUGGAAAAGGAUGUGCAGUUGCGUAGACAACUAGGACGUUGGCUUAGAAGCAGCCACUCAUUUAAAGAGUGCGUAAUAGCUCACUAGUCGAGUGACUCUGCGCCGAAGAUAAACGGGGCUGAAACCUGACACCGAAGCUUUGGAUACAUUAUGUAUGGUAGAGGAGCAUCGUAUACGGGCAGAAGCGUGACCGUAAGGGAGCGUGGACUGUAUACGAGAGAGAAUGUUGGCAUGAGUAGCGAGAGGCAGGUGAGAAUCCUGCCCGCCGAAAAUCUGAGGAUUCCUGAGGAAGGUUCGUCCGCUCAGGGUAAGUCGGGACCUAAGCCGAGAACGAAAGUUGUAGGCGAUGGACAACAGGUUGAGAUUCCUGUACCACCGAGGAUCAUUUGAAUGAAGUGGGGACGCAGGAGGAUAGGCUGAGCGCGCCGUUGGUGGAGCGCGUCCAAGCACGGAGGGAGUUGACCAGGCAAAUCCGGUCAGCGAGUUCCUGACGUGUGAUGGGGAGGGAAAACAAGUACCGAAGCAGCUGAUUUCACACUGCCAAGAAAAGCCGCUGGUGAGAUCCAAGGUGCCCGUACCGCAAACCGACACAGGUAGAUGAGGAGAGAAUCCUAAGGCGAGCGAGAGAACUAUUGUUAAGGAACUCGGCAAAAUGACCCCGUAACUUAGGGAGAAGGGGUGCCUGUCUAUGACAGGCCGCAGAGAAUAGGCCCAAGCGACUGUUUACCAAAAACACAGGUUUCUGCUAAGUCGCAAGACGAUGUAUAGGAGCUGACGCCUGCCCGGUGCUGGAAGGUUAAGGGGAUCUGUUAGAGCAAUCGAAGCAGUGAACUUAAGCCCCAGUAAACGGCGGCCGUAACUAUAACGGUCCUAAGGUAGCGAAAUUCCUUGUCGGGUAAGUUCCGACCCGCACGAAAGGCGUAACGAUUUGGGCACUGUCUCAACAAUAGACUCGGUGAAAUUGUAAUCCCGGUGAAGAUGCCGGGUACCUGCGACAGGACGGAAAGACCCCAUGGAGCUUUACUGUAGCUUGACGUUGGGUCUUGGUACUACAUGUACAGGAUAGGUGGGAGACUAUGAAGCAUGGACGCCAGUCUGUGUGGAGUCAUCCUUGGGAUACCACCCUUGUAGUACUGGGAUCCUAACCAUAGGCCUUGAAUCAGGUCUUGGAACACCGUCAGGUGGGCAGUUUGACUGGGGCGGUCGCCUCCUAAAAAGUAACGGAGGCGCUCAAAGGUUUCCUCAGCACGGUCGGAAAUCGUGCGAAGAGUGUAAAGGCAAAAGGAAGCUUGAUUGCAAGACAUACAGGUCGAGCAAGGACGAAAGUCGGACUUAGUGAUCCGGUGGUACCGCAUGGAAGGGCCAUCGCUCAACGGAUAAAAGCUACCCUGGGGAUAACAGGCUUAUCUCCCCCAAGAGUCCACAUCGACGGGGAGGUUUGGCACCUCGAUGUCGGCUCA